CCGCAUGGUUCGAUUAUUAAAGGAGAGAAACACUGGUGGAUGGGCUUAUGGCGCAUUAGUUAGUUGGUGAGGUAACGGCCCACCAAGACGAUGAUGCGUAGCCGGACUGAGAGGUUGAACGGCCACAUUGGGACUGAGAGACGGCCCAGACUCCUACGGGAGGCAGCAGUAGGGAAUUUUCGGCAAUGGGCGGAAGCCUGACCGAGCAACGCCGCGUGAGUGAUGAAGUUUUUCGGAAUGUAAAGCUCUGUUGCGCGGGACGAAUGGAGAGGGAGGACCCUCUUGUGACGGUACCGCGCGAGGAAGCCACGGCUAACUACGUGCC
Molecule: ribosomal RNA, 325 nt
Filed under: uncultured bacterium
Lineage: Bacteria
Description: bacterial SSU rRNA
Rfam family: Bacterial small subunit ribosomal RNA
Source: RNAcentral